Frankliniella occidentalis (western flower thrips) is the source of this 76-nucleotide small nucleolar RNA. RefSeq annotates it as small nucleolar RNA SNORD24. Lineage: Eukaryota; Metazoa; Arthropoda; Insecta; Thysanoptera; Thripidae. The record is from RefSeq and is a predicted model, not a curated record. The transcript has a single exon.
CGCUGUCAUGAUGAUAUUGUAUUUGCUGCACUGAAUGGUUGUGCUGACACACAAUACCACCAAGAUCUCUGAUGCA